This 434-nucleotide ribosomal RNA is filed under the name uncultured bacterium. Its description in RNAcentral is "partial 16S ribosomal RNA". It matches the Rfam family "Bacterial small subunit ribosomal RNA", at positions 29 to 507 of the family's 1533-position model. The record is from RNAcentral.
AGCGAACGCUGGCGGCAGGCCUAACACAUGCAAGUCGAACGAACCUUUCGGGGUUAGUGGCGGACGGGUGAGUAACACGUGGGAACGUGCCUUUAGGUUCGGAAUAACUCAGGGAAACUUGUGCUAAUACCGAAUGUGCCCUUCGGGGGAAAGAUUUAUCGCCUUUAGAGCGGCCCGCGUCUGAUUAGCUAGUUGGUUGAGGUAAUGGCUCACCAAGGCGACGCUCAGUAGCUGGUCUGAGAGGAUGAUCAGCCACAUUGGGACUGAGACACGGCCCAAACUACUACGGGAGGCAGCAGUGGGGAAUCUUGCGAAAUGGGCGAAAGCCUGACGCAGCCAUGCCGCGUGAAUGAUGAAGGUCUUAGGAUUGUAAAAUUCUUUCACCGGGGACGAUAAUGACGGUACCCGGAGAAGAAGCCCCGGCUAACUUCGUG